Lasallia pustulata is the source of this 100-nucleotide non-coding RNA. The record is from Rfam. Lineage: Eukaryota; Fungi; Ascomycota; Lecanoromycetes; Umbilicariales; Umbilicariaceae.
GACAACGUGGCCGAGUGGUUAAGGCGACAGCCUGCUAUUGGUUCAAGGGAAUUGAGAGCUGUUUUCUUCGGAAGCGCAGGUUCGAAUCCUGCCGUUGUCG